Molecule: long non-coding RNA, 1655 nt
Organism: Fukomys damarensis (Damara mole-rat)
Lineage: Eukaryota; Metazoa; Chordata; Mammalia; Rodentia; Bathyergidae
Exons: 3
Source: RefSeq, a predicted model, not a curated record
GCGUGGGCUCACAGUGAGUUCCAGCUUCAAAAAUCUCACCGCCAGCCACUGACUACUACAAAAGAGCGGCUCUGGCUCCACCACUCGCAGAGGAGAAGCCUGACUCAGCUUCACACAGAUCCACUCUCCCUGCCCAGCAAGCCUGCUUUCCGCUGGGGAAACUGAGGCUCGGAGAGAUGAAGCCUCGCCCAGGCCAGAGGGCAGUCCACCCACAUCUGCACUCUGGCCGGGUCACAGCAUCCCCAAAAAACAGCCCAGCGCCCACUGGGGUGUGGGACGUGCCAGGCAGAGGCCCCUGAGUCUGGCCCCCGGCCCAGUGGCCCGACACUCCUGUGACUUCCACUGCUACAGGGAUGUCAGGGUCUUGGCCCAGGCUGGGCACUGUGGUGGGGAGUCCUGGACCGGAGCCCAGAUGGGAAAUGUUUGUUGACUGACCCAGCGACCCCUUCCACCAUCCCUGACGGGAAAGCAUCCAGGCUCCUGGGAGAGAAUCCAGCCUCCUCCUCCAUGGUGCCCUCCCGCUGUCCCCGUCCCUGUGCAUUUUGGUUUCAGCAGGAAGAGCCCAGGGCAGCGGGUCCCCACUGGGAAGUUCAGCCUGGGGCGGGGACAGGAGCCAGGGAUGGCUCCAGGCCGGGUGGGGAGGACGAAGACCACAGUGCCACAUUCAUCCCUGCCGGGACCGCGGGGACCUGCACCCCAGGGCCUUGUGUUCCCCACCUGAAGGGGCCCUGCAUGGUGGCCCUGGAAACCAGUAAUGUGGACAGCAGAGGGUGAGGGUGGGGUUCCUGCCAAGGUUUGGGGAGCAGGUGGUUAAAUAUCCAUGAGGCCUGGGAGGGGACAGAAUGGGGAGUCACACCCGGGGGAGAGAGAAGGAUGGGGCAGAGGGCAGAGGAGCCUGCAGUGGGCACUCUGGGCGGCUGAGGCAGGAGGGUCUCCAGCUCCAGAUGCAGACCGUGAUGAUGAUGAACCCUCAGGCAGAUGCCAAGUGACCAUCAGAGGGGCUUCAGUGCCACUCAGGGAGGGCUGGGCCAACUUGCAGGAGGCCGUUGGUCUGGUCCCAGCACCACAAAAUGAAACAAAACCCUGUGGAAAGUGACGGCGUAGGCAAGGCCUUGGAAGCUGGACACAGUCCACGUCUGGCAGGGAGUGCACAGGCAGCUGCUGGGAAAACAGCCCACACGUCCUCUGCAAGUCACACCCAGGGUGAUCCAGGUCCCUGCUGUUGAGCUCCAAGGUACCGAACAAGAGAGUUGAAGACAGGAGAUGUUUCCACCAAAACCUGACCGCAGCCAAAGGUGCAGACAGCCAGGUGCCCAUCAGUGGUGAGCAGAUACACGCAGGGUGGUCUGUCUGCCUGUGGAAUAUUACUCAGCCAAGAACAGGACUGGAGCACUGAUAUGCUACAAUCUGGAUGGACCGGGGCACUGAGUAACACAGCCAGACACACAAGGCCACACUAUAUAUGAUCCCACUGACACGAAAUGUCUAGCCCAGGCAGAUCCACAGAGACCGGAAUCAGACUGGUCACUGCCAGGAGUUGGGGAGGGCGAAUUGUAUGGUGUGUGAUUUCUCCGUAUUUUAACAACAGCAGCAGCAGGGCUGGGCACGGUGAACACCUGAGAUCCCAGCACUCAAAAGGCUGAGGCAGGAGGAUC